Molecule: ribosomal RNA, 391 nt
Filed under: Cladosporium sp. B02
Lineage: Eukaryota; Fungi; Ascomycota; Dothideomycetes; Cladosporiales; Cladosporiaceae
Description: SSU rRNA
Rfam family: Eukaryotic small subunit ribosomal RNA
Source: RNAcentral
UGUCUAAGUAUAAGCAACUAUACGGUGAACCUGCGGANGGCUCAUUAAAUCAGUUAUCGUUUAUUUGAUAGUACCUUACUACAUGGAUAACCGUGGUAAUUCUAGAGCUAAUACAUGCUAAAAACCUCGACUUCGGAAGGGGUGUAUUUAUUAGAUAAAAAACCAAUGCCCUUCGGGGCUCCUUGGUGAAUCAUAAUAACUUAACGAAUCGCAUGGCCUUGCGCCGGCGAUGGUUCAUUCAAAUUUCUGCCCUAUCAACUUUCGAUGGUAGGAUAGUGGCCUACCAUGGUAUCAACGGGUAACGGGGAAUUAGGGUUCGACUCCGGAGAGGGAGCCUGAGAAACGGCUACCACAUCCAAGGAAGGCAGCAGGCGCGCAAAUUACCCAAUCC